GGUGCGUAACGCGUAUGCAACCUACCUUUCACAGGGGGAUAGCCCGAAGAAAUUUGGAUUAAUACCCCAUAAUAUUAUUGGAUGGCAUCAUUUGAUAAUUAAAACUGCGGUGGUGAAAGAUGGGCAUGCGUCCUAUUAGCUAGUUGGAGUGGUAACGGCACCCCAAGGCUACGAUAGGUAGGGGUCCUGAGAGGGAGAUCCCCCACACUG
RNAcentral lists this ribosomal RNA (210 nucleotides) under uncultured bacterium. Its description in RNAcentral is "partial 16S ribosomal RNA". It matches the Rfam family "Bacterial small subunit ribosomal RNA", at positions 105 to 315 of the family's 1533-position model. The record is from RNAcentral.